RNAcentral lists this ribosomal RNA (287 nucleotides) under uncultured bacterium. Its description in RNAcentral is "partial 16S ribosomal RNA". It matches the Rfam family "Bacterial small subunit ribosomal RNA", at positions 28 to 312 of the family's 1533-position model. The record is from RNAcentral.
GACGAACGCUGGCGGCGUGCUUAACACAUGCAAGUCGAGCGGUAAGGCCCUUUCGGGGUACGACGAGCGGCGAACGGGUGAGUAACACGUGGGUGACCUGCCCUCAGUUCUGGGAGUAAGCCUGGGAAACCGGGUCGUAAUAACUGGAUAUGACCGUCAUGACGCAUGUUGUGGGGUGGAAAGCCUUGUGCGACUGAGGAUGGGCCCGCGGCCUAUCAGCUUGUUGGUGGGGUGAUGGCCUACCAAGGCGACGACGGGUAGCCGGCCUGAGAGGGCGACCGGCCACA